GAUUUGUAUGGCCCAGAGGGCUUGUAGGUGUGUCUCAGAUUGUCACCUGUACAGGGGAGAUGCUGCCAAAAUUUCUUCUGGCAGGGAUUCCCCCGGGACGUGACAGUUACAAUCUGAGGUAUUCAUCACUACAAAAAAACUGUAAUUUAGCGACAAAUAUUUGUGAUAAAAAAUAUUCAUCGUAAAUUUGCAACAACUUUUGCGACAAAAAACUAAAUUAUCGCAGUUUAACAACAAAUUUUGUGACAAAAAUAUUUUCAUCGUAAAUUAGCAACAAAAUAUUAUUCAUCGCAAAAUUCAUUGGAAAUUAGUGACAAACUUCUAUAUUCAUCACUGUUUACAACAAAAAAAGGAUUCAUCACAAAUUCUAUGAUGAAUAAUAGAUUCGUCGCAAAUUUAGCGACGAAUUUAGGAUCCGUUGUAAAAAUAAAAUUUAUUUAAAAAAAAAACUUUCCAAAGCUGGUUAACAUACCUAGAGGGUUCGUAAUGACAUGCAACAAGUUCGUAUGAGUUCCUAUUAACCCCAUGAUCAUAAAAAUGCCCUUAAAAAAUAAUUUGACCAACUAUACUUUUUCUUAAAUUGCUAAAUCAAUUACGUGCAUGUAAGACUUAGUUAAAUUUCUAUAAGAAGUCAUAAUUUAACAUGUCACACUUAUUUUGAAAUAUCUAAAAUGGUCGAGGUACCUAAAGAACUCCGAAUGAGAUGUAACUAGUUUCUAUAGAUCUCAAUGGAGAUUGUUAUUUUUAUUUUUAUUUUUAAAAUAAACUUUCCGAAGUCGGUUGACAUACUUGGAGGGCUCGGAAGGACAUGAAACAAGUUCUCAUGAAUUCCUAUAAACCCCCUGAUCAUAAAAUGUCCUUAAAAAAUAAUUUGACCAACUGUACUUUUUCUUAAAUUACUAAAUCAAUUACAUGCACGUAAGACUUAGUUAAAUUUCUAUAGGAAGUUGUAAUUUAAUAGGUCACACUUAUUUUAAAAUAUCUAAAGACGGUAGAGGUACCUAGAGAGCUCAAACAUCAGCGGCAGCGGCUGCAUCUUCUGGAUCGACAACCUUACCGACAUCAAACACUAAAACAAUGGCUUCAGCUAAGAUCUCUAUGUUCGAUUAGCACGAGAAAAUUCUUCAAGUUAAUAUAUUGGCAAAUUGUUCGGCUUGAACGUCUUCUGUUUAGUAGAAUCGAUGUGCAGUGGCCAUAGCAACAAGAGCCGCGUAGUUGUGAUCAUUGUGGUACCGUUGUUACCGACGUUUUUCUUGGCUGCCGCCGUGAUUCCCCUUUGGAGAAGAAGGAAGACGAGAAACAACAAGAUGAAGAAUCACUUGAUGAAGAAGAAGCAGUGGAAGAGGAAAACUUGGACAUGUCUCUAUUUGAUUUGCGUAGGAUUGCAGAGGCCAUCGGAGACUUUUACUUCGACAACAAGCUCAGAGACGGUGGAUUUGGCCCUUUUUAUAAGGGAAAGUUGAAGGAGGGCCAGGAAAUAGCUAUGAAGAGGUUAUUGAAGACGUUGACAUAUGGCUCAGAUGAGUUCAAGAACGAGAUGAGUUCGCCUUCUUGGCUAUUGCGUUGAGGGGGGAGAAAGAAUGCUGAUCUACGAGUACAUGCUCAAUGGAAGCUUGGACACAUUCUUUUUUGGAUUGAUCAAACACAAUGAAAAUCAAUAUCGGAGAAAAUAAGGAUAUUGGAAGAAGAUGGAUAAGACUUAGUGAUGUUUAGAAAUUUAUUGAUGUAUGGAUGAUUUAGAACUUAUUAUGAUGUUUGGAUUGUAUGGAUAUUAGAUCUUUUGUGAUGUUUGUAUUUUUAUGUAUGAUAUGUUUGGAUUGUAAGGAUAUUAGAUGAUGUUUGCAUUUUGAUGUAUGAAAUGUUUGAAUUUUAUGGAUAUUUUGUUACGUUUA
Molecule: long non-coding RNA, 1892 nt
Organism: Zingiber officinale
Lineage: Eukaryota; Viridiplantae; Streptophyta; Magnoliopsida; Zingiberales; Zingiberaceae
Exons: 5
Source: RefSeq, a predicted model, not a curated record